This 253-nucleotide ribosomal RNA is filed under the name uncultured bacterium. Its description in RNAcentral is "partial 16S ribosomal RNA". It matches the Rfam family "Bacterial small subunit ribosomal RNA", at positions 524 to 776 of the family's 1533-position model. The record is from RNAcentral.
UACGGGGGGGGCAAGCGUUGUUCGGAAUUACUGGGCGUAAAGGGCUCGUAGGUGGCCAACUAAGUCAGACGUGAAAUCCCAUGGCUCAACCAUGGAACUGCGUCUGAUACUGGAUGGCUUGAGUUCGGGAGAGGGAAGUGGAAUUCCAGGUGUAGCGGUGAAAUGCGUAGAUAUCUGGAGGAACACCGGUGGCGAAGGCGGCAUCCUGGACCAACACUGACACUGAGGAGCGAAAGCCAGGGGAGCAAACGGG